Molecule: ribosomal RNA, 425 nt
Filed under: uncultured bacterium
Lineage: Bacteria
Description: partial 16S ribosomal RNA
Rfam family: Bacterial small subunit ribosomal RNA
Source: RNAcentral
GAAUUUUGGACAAUGGGCGAAAGCCUGAUCCAGCAAUGCCGCGUGCAGGACGAAGGCCUUCGUGUUGUAAACUGCCUUUGUACGGCACGAAAAGCUUUGGGUUAAUACCCUGGAGUCAGUGAGGUACCGUCAGCAUAAGCACCGGCGAACAACGCGCGCUCACCCGCGGUAAUACGUAGGGUGCAAGCGUUAAUCGGAAUUACUGGGCGUAAAGCGUGCGCAGGCGGUUUUGUAAGACAGAGGUGAAAUCCCCGGGCUCAACCUGGGAACUGCCUUUGUGACUGCAAGGCUAGAGUACGGCAGAGGGGGGUGGAAUUCCGCGUGUAGCAGUGAAAUGCGUAGAUAUGCGGAGGAACACCGAUGGCGAAGGCAACCCCCUGGGCCUGUACUGACGCUCAUGCACGAAAGCGUGGGGAGCAAACAGG